CCUACGGGAGGCAGCAGUCGGGAAUUUUGCGCAAUGGGGGAAACCCUGACGCAGCAAUACCGCGUGUGGGAUGAAGGCCUUCGGGUCGUAAACCACUUUUCUCGGGGACGAUAAUGACGGUAC
RNAcentral lists this ribosomal RNA (123 nucleotides) under uncultured freshwater bacterium. RNAcentral describes it as "partial 16S ribosomal RNA". It matches the Rfam family "Bacterial small subunit ribosomal RNA", at positions 338 to 478 of the family's 1533-position model. The record is from RNAcentral.